Molecule: unclassified non-coding RNA, 1466 nt
Filed under: Monomorium pharaonis (pharaoh ant)
Lineage: Eukaryota; Metazoa; Arthropoda; Insecta; Hymenoptera; Formicidae
Description: leucine repeat adapter protein 25, transcript variant X9
Source: RNAcentral
CGAAAACACCCGUAAGCAUGUGACUGUUUUCAGAUUUCUUUGUAACUGUAUAGUUGGUCAGUUAUUCUACUGUAAUAGAAAACGUUUCUUUUUUUUUUAAUAUAUUCUCAUCACAUGUGAUUAUUGGAAUAGAAUUCGCCAAGAGGUCGUUCGAGUCACCUCAUAUUCUACUUAUUUUACAGUUCCAGCUCAGCUUAGAGAUGAAAGUAACAAUAAAAAGUUGGACAGGAGUCGCUACCUGGCGGUGGAUUGCGAAUGACGACAACUGCGGCAUAUGUAGGAUGCCGUUUGACGCCAGCUGUCCGGAUUGCAAGAUUCCUGGGGACGACUGUCCAUUAGUGUGGGGGCAGUGCUCGCAUUGUUUCCACAUACACUGCAUCAUGAAGUGGCUGCACUCGCAGCAGACCAACCACAUGUGCCCGAUGUGUCGCCAGGAGUGGAAGUUCAAGGAGUAACCGUCGCCGCUUACCCCGCGGGCCCGCAGGUGUCAGCACGCAGCGAGUGAUCAGAGGGUUCCUCGGCGCAGACGGGAUCGCCGAAUUGUUUUGUGCGUUAGAAAGUGUGGUCUUCGUUGUGCGGCAUUUCGUUGUGCACUGAAACGUGGAAGACGCGAUGUGACGUCAAGCGAGACUCGGGAAGUGAACUGUUGAAGACUCGGGUGACGCGAGGACGAAGUGGCUCGGAUCGAGAGAAGGAUGUCGGAUUUCUCUCGUUCGGAGUAACGAUACGCGGGUUUAAGUCCCGUGGAGUUUUCCAACGACAAAGUCGGGUUUUUUUUCCGCUCCCUCCUUUGUCCGUCGUAACGGAAAUCGUAAAGAGAUUUCAUUGUCCCGUGGAAGUUUGUAUGAUUAAAAAAAAAAAGGAUUUGAUUCUGCCUGAAAAGAAGAGGAGGGUGAAAAGGGGAAACGCGGAGGUCCCGGAGUGUCACGCUAGACCACGGCUAGGACACGUCUCAGGUAUUUGGUGGGCGAUGCGAUAGAAAGUUUUCCCUAUCGCGGGACACGCGAUAAGGCAGGUUCGUUCACAAAGAACCAGUGGGUUUGCCGGGUCUACUUCAACGCUUCCAUACUUCUUCGUGGAAGGAAAGCGCGAGCGAUCGAGAUAGAAAGGCGACUAUCGAGGCCGUAACGUCAUCAACGGGGAUCAGCCUCAAUGACAACCUAGACAGAGAGAAAGAGGAAUGGAACGCGCACGAAGGAAAUAUCUACAUUGAAGAGUCGGCGAGGCCGAGGAAUUACCUUUGCGACGGGUGGUCCCCGCGUUGGUUGCCGCGGGAAUCAAAGAAUCCCAGGACGAAGGCGGAUUUGGGAAAUCGAAGGCGCGCGCGAGGCCUAUUAGCGAGCGGGCGCACGUACGGACCAGAAUUGUAUGCAAAAUCGCGUCGGCGAUAUCGCGUGGCAUCGGCGGCGCGAUCGCGCGACCCGCUUACGGGAAUAAAGAGGACUCGAGGUGGACUCGAGGGGGAA